UACGGAGGGUGCUAGCGUUGUUCGGAAUUAUUGGGCGUAAAGGGCGCGUAGGCGGUUAUGUAAGUCAGAUGUGAAAUACUUCGGCUUAACCGAAGAACUGCAUUUGAUACUACUUAGCUAGAGUACAGAAGAGGGAAAUGGAAUUCCCGGUGUAGAGGUGAAAUUCGUAGAUAUCGGGAGGAACACCAGUGGCGAAGGCGAUUUCCUGGUCUGAUACUGACGCUGAGGCGCGAAAGCGUGGGGAGCAAACAGGAUUAGAUACCCUGGUAGUCCACGCUGUAAACGGUGAACACUAGGUGUGGGAGGUGUAAUACCUUCUGUGCCGAAGCAAACGCGAUAAGUGUUCCGCCUGGGAAGUACGGCCGCAAGGUUGAAACUCAAAG
RNAcentral lists this ribosomal RNA (383 nucleotides) under uncultured bacterium. Its description in RNAcentral is "bacterial SSU rRNA". It matches the Rfam family "Bacterial small subunit ribosomal RNA", at positions 524 to 906 of the family's 1533-position model. The record is from RNAcentral.